CAGAGAGAGACAUGCGCGCAUAUCAAUAAGCGGAGGAAAAGAAACUAACAAGGAUUCCCCUAGUAACGGCGAGUGAAGCGGGAAGAGCUCAAAUUUGAAAUCUUAAAGGGUUUCCCUUUACGAAUUGUAGUUUAAAGAAGUGUUUUCUGUUGAGGUUUUGGUAAAAGUUCUUUGGAAUAGGACAUCAUAGAGGGUGAGAAUCCCGUAUUUGACCUUUACUUUCAACUUUGUGAUACACUUUCAAAGAGUCGGAUUGUUUGGGAAUGCAGUCCAAAAUGGGUGGUAAGUUUCAUCUAAAGCUAAAUAUUGGCGAGAGACCGAUAGCGAACAAGUACCGUGAGGGAAAGAUGAAAAGAACUUUGAAAAGAGAGUUAAACAGUACGUGAAAUUGUCAAAAGGGAAGCGUUUGACACCAGUGUUGUUUUUCUGAAAAUCAAUUAAAGAACUGUUUAUGCUAAGUUGUUUAGACUUUAUCAGCUAACUGUUUAGUUUUGAGCUUUUCUUUAAUGCACUUUUCAGUUAACAAGUCAACAUCAAUUUCUUUUGCUGUAAAAAAGCUUGAGGAAGGUGGCUUGAGAUUCGUCUUAAGUGUUUAUAGCCUCUUGCCUAUGCAGUCGGAGAGAUUGAGGUCUGCAGCGUAGAUCCUUCGGGGCUAAAUGCAUUUGUGCUAAGUUAUAGCAUUUUAUAGACAACUUGUUGACUAUGAUUUGUCUUGUAGCUUACUCGCUUAUGUUAUUUUACCUACGCUUAGGAUGUUGAGCGCAUGUCUCUCUCU
RNAcentral lists this ribosomal RNA (775 nucleotides) under uncultured Neocallimastigales. RNAcentral's name for it is "partial large subunit ribosomal RNA". It matches the Rfam family "Eukaryotic large subunit ribosomal RNA", at positions 23 to 616 of the family's 3401-position model. Lineage: Eukaryota; Fungi; Neocallimastigomycota; Neocallimastigomycetes; Neocallimastigales. The record is from RNAcentral.